RNAcentral lists this ribosomal RNA (372 nucleotides) under uncultured organism. RNAcentral describes it as "bacterial SSU rRNA". It matches the Rfam family "Bacterial small subunit ribosomal RNA", at positions 526 to 896 of the family's 1533-position model. The record is from RNAcentral.
CAGAGGGUGCAAGCGUUAAUCGGAUUUACUGGGCGUAAAGCGUGUGUAGGUGGUUGGGAAAGUCAAUUGUGAAAGCCCCGGGCCUAACUCGGGAACUGCUUUUGAUACUGUCUGACUAGAAUUCGGUAGAGGGAGGCGGAACUCCAGGUGUAGCGGUGAAAUGCGUAGAUAUCUGGAAGAACACCAAUGGCGAAGGCAACCUCCUGGGCCUGAAUUGACACUGAGACACGAAAGCGUGGGGAGUCAAACAGGAUUAGAUACCCUGGUAGUCCACGCCGUAAACGAUGACAACUUGACGUCGGUUCGCUCUGCGAAUCGGUGUCGUAGCUAACGCGAUAAGUUGUCCGCCUGGGGAGUACGGCCGCAAGGUUG